GAUAGAAAUGUUUAUGCUCCCACACAAUUCUGGUAAUCAAGCCAAUGAUAAUAUAUGAGAUGAUGUUGGUAUAAUAUAGUACAAACUCCUGAAAAUUGAAAAUUUUGAUUUUAUGAUACUAAAAUAUUACCAAACACAAUGAAUGAUAGCUAAAAGGGAAAACAACACAACAAAUAAUUCUUUCCGAUUUAAAAUUGAAGCUCAACACGAGAUCUAAGAUGGCAGAACAAUCGAACCCUAAUUGUCAGCAUGCAUGAAGUGAAGAAUAUGAUUCAUUUGCACCCUUUUCCUUCCACAUUUCAGGAUAAAUGUUGAAGCAAUGGUUGAGCUUAUUUGAAGAAUCAAUUAUAGAACAUUGAUAUUUUUCACAACUUGUCAACAAUUAUAGAUGAUUGUAUGAAAU
RNAcentral lists this long non-coding RNA (403 nucleotides) under Durio zibethinus. RNAcentral describes it as "long non-coding RNA (DZIB_LNC001089)". The record is from RNAcentral. Lineage: Eukaryota; Viridiplantae; Streptophyta; Magnoliopsida; Malvales; Malvaceae.